RNAcentral lists this long non-coding RNA (651 nucleotides) under Fukomys damarensis (Damara mole-rat). RNAcentral describes it as "lncRNA (ENSFDAG00000029280.1)". The record is from RNAcentral. Lineage: Eukaryota; Metazoa; Chordata; Mammalia; Rodentia; Bathyergidae.
UUCUUUUUUUGCGCCUUCCAGACAUAAUUGGCUCAUUGGCAUUAUACCAUUUUCAACUUAUAGUGCAGUCAAUUUUACAAUUUGGUGGAUCAGGUAAAUACUUUAAACUUUGAAUACAUGGUACUGUAUCCUGUAAGGUGGUACCUUUUAAUACUUAUAUUUACAUAUUCAUGAAAAUACCAAUGUAAUGACUACUUUUUAAUGUGUAAAACCCAGUUCAUGAUCGGCAUCUCAGGUGUUCAUCACUUGAUGCUCCAGGUCCAGCCUUAAGUCUCUUCCAGGACUUGGUAAGAAUCCAGGAGCUGCAUUUCAGCUGGACAGUCAUUGUCAGUAGAAGAGGAUGUGACUUGCUGAAGGCUCUUUUGCAGCACCAACGGGAGGACGGCACUUAUAAAUUCUUAGAAGAGCAGAGAACUGAGGAGCAGGGCACAUCACCAAUGAAAAGUGCCAUCUGGGCCGGGAUUGCAGGGGAGAGGCGAAGAGAGAACAAAUGGUAAAUCAAAGGUUUGGAUCCGAUGAGUGUUUAGAGUAGGUGUGUGCAUGGCGUGCUUUUGAAUUCAGACUGCUUCGUGCCUGGAUAAGUUCUGGAAUGUGGCAAUAACUGGCCCUAGGGAUGCACAAAGGAACACUGGGUUACCAGAGGAGAAGGCA